AAAACGUUUCGACCACGGCAGGAUUCGAACCUGCAAUCUUCUGCUCCGUAGGCAGACGCGUUAUCCAUUGCGCCACGCGGCCACAUUUUC
This 90-nucleotide transfer RNA is filed under the name Caenorhabditis elegans. RNAcentral describes it as "Unclassified non-coding RNA F33D11.15". The record is from RNAcentral. Lineage: Eukaryota; Metazoa; Nematoda; Chromadorea; Rhabditida; Rhabditidae.